This is a long non-coding RNA of Psammomys obesus (fat sand rat), 2440 nucleotides long. RefSeq lists it as uncharacterized. Lineage: Eukaryota; Metazoa; Chordata; Mammalia; Rodentia; Muridae. The transcript has 3 exons. The record is from RefSeq and is a predicted model, not a curated record.
CAGACUAGCCUUCCACAGCUACGUAGUCUUAAAUGACUUCAUAUUGAUUAAACUCAGAAGUAAGCUGAAACCAAUUCAUUUCUAGUGGUACCUAUUUGAGCUUCCUUUUGUUAGAAUGUUUUAAAAGCCAAAGACGUUGGUGGGCCCUGAAUGAGCUGCAUGGAGCAUCCAGGUGAGCUCGUGCAGAUACACCCAGGAUGCCUGUUCCCUGCCGAGUCUUCAGAGCAUAACUGAGAAGACACCCUGACCUUUGGCUGCAUCCAUUUGUUUAAUAAAACCCAAAGUAUUCAGUUUAGACUUAAUUAACUUCUAGAUUAUUUUGGUUGGGAAUUUAAUGUGCUUGAAAAAUUAGUCAUAUCCUAAACUAUCUUCACACAGAAAACUUAGGUUUAUCAUAUGCCUGUAUUCCUGAAGAAUAAAUGUGGUUCAUUGGUAAUCUCCCUGUCCAUCAACAGCAUACAGCUCAUCAUUCAUAAGACAGACACAUGGACAGGCAUACAGCCUGCCCUCUGACCUCCACACAUGCUGUGGCACGCAUAAUGAAAUUACCUUUUUGUUUCCUAUUCGCUAGAAAUUAACCACAUUCUACACUGGCUCUUAGUAGGUGUCUGUAUAACAUUUAAACAUUGAGUUAGUAUUUUAACAUUUACUAGGUCUACAGCUUGGAUUGUAACCUUGGAGGAAGAACUGUUGGACUAGAUCAUUGUAUUAUUUGAGGCGUAACAUAGAAAAUGUUGGCUGGGGACUAAAACUGAUUAGAGUAGUGUCAUAUUAUCACACAUAGGCCUAAUCCAACCUCACCCCUGAUAGAAAGUAAAAUCCCUACUGAAUUGGUCACAUUUGUUCAUUUGUGUGUUGUUUAUGGCUGGUUUCAUGCUACAUUAAGACCUGGUAGUGACAGUUAUGUGGUACAUGGAGGAUUUGGAGUUCUAUGUCAGCCUGAGCUGCAAUAGAAAUUGUAGUUCAGAAACUGUGACACUAAGAAAGUCUCACCAGGCUCAGGGAUGUAGCUCAGUUGCUAAGAGUAUUUAUUUAGCAUGUUUCGAGCCCUGGGUUUGGUACCUAAACCAGGCGUGGUGGUACAAGCACUUGGGAAGUAGAGACAGGAAGAUCAGAAGUUCAAAGUCAUUCUUUAUAGUGAAUUUGAAGCCACACUGGAUUACAUAAGACCUUGUCUCAAAAAAUAAAGUUAGGUUUCACUAACGUAGAGACUUGCCAGGUGGUAAAACAAGAUUGUGUUGCUCAUAGAUGGACAAAGCUUAGAGGUUACUUAGGUAAUUACCUUGCUAGCUAUCAUAUAGACUGACCCCUGCCCUUUCCAGGUGACUUCUAAAACUUUAUAUGAACUGAGUCAUGUCUCAUUUUAUUUAUUUAUCAUCUCUCAAGCUAGAUGUGGUGGUGCAGGCAUUUAAUCCCAGCACUGGGAGGCAGAGACAGGAAGAUCUCUGAGUUAAAAACUAGCCUGGUCUACAGAAAAAUUCUCAACAACCAGUGUUUUACAGGGAAACUGUCUCAAAAAGACGAAUAAUAGUCGUUACUAAUAGAUUCAGUCAGUUGGAAUGGCUGCCCUCUUCUGACACAGAAAGCAGAGUACCUCAACAGUGGGGACUGAAUGCACCACAGCUAAACCGGACCUCUGAGUUCAUAUAGAAGCAAAGAUGUGCACUGAGAAACCUGGAGGGAUGACUGCUGAGCAGCCAUGUUGGGUUGGUGGCACCUGAAGAUGGCAGCCAAGGAAGAUGAAGUGCAAAGAUGGAAGAAUGUGUCCCAUGGACAGUAUAGUGAAGAUGCCAUAUAAACCAGACUACAUUACCAUUUUAAGAGAAUUCUUUCUUACUUAAACUGUUACCAUUUCAGCAUUUGUUGCGUGCAUCAAUUCUAAUCCUGAUGCCCAUGUAAUAAUGUCUCCUAAAAUAAUGCCUUUAGUAUUUUCCUUACCUUUUGCCCCCUCAGGAGCAGCCACAUCCAAAGUACCUAACAUGCCAAUGACUUUUUGUCUAUGUUUCCAGGUCUAAUCUCUCAUCUAAAAAACUGUACAUUAAGCUGCAUGUUAGACACCUCUGAUACACCCAUACACAUUGUGAUGUGCUUAAAUGAGAGUAACAGAAUAUGUACAUAUCCUGAUCCGAAGCCUUCAAAAUUACAUUGUAGGGCAAAAGAGACUAUAUGAAUAUGAUCAAAUUAAAGAUCUUGACGGUGGGACUUUACCCUGGUUUAUUCAUUUGGUCCUCAUAUAAUGAUAAAGAUAUUUACACAUGAAACAGGAGUCAGAGUUGGAAAGAGCAAUAUGAUACAGAAAGCAAAGGUUGAAAUGAUGUGGCCACAAGCUGAGGUAUGCCCUGUAGACCAUUCUGGCUUUGAACUCAGAGAUCCACCUGCCUCUGCCUCCCAAGUGCUGGGAUUAAAGGUGUGGGCCACCGCCACUAAGCUCAAAAAAAAA